CCUACGGGAGGCAGCAGUGAGGAAUAUUGGUCAAUGGACGAGAGUCUGAACCAGCCAAGUCGCGUGAAGGAUGACUGCCCUAUGGGUUGUAAACUUCUUUUAUAUGGGAAUAAAAUGUUCCACGUGUGGGAUUUUGUAUGUACCAUAUGAAUAAGGAUCGGCUAACUCCGUGCCAGCAGCCGCGGUAAUACGGAGGAUCCGAGCGUUAUCCGGAUUUAUUGGGUUUAAAGGGAGCGUAGGUGGAUUGUUAAGUCAGUUGUGAAAGUUUGCGGCUCAACCGUAAAAGUGCAGUUGAAACUGGCAGUCUUGAGUACAGUAGAGGUGGGCGGAAUUCGUGGUGUAGCGGUGAAAUGCUUAGAUAUCACGAAGAACUCCGAUGGCGAAGGCAGUUCACUGGACUGCAACUGACACUGAGGCUCGAAAGUGUGGGUAUCAAACAGGAUUAGAUACCCGAGUAGUC
This 460-nucleotide ribosomal RNA is filed under the name uncultured bacterium. Its description in RNAcentral is "partial 16S ribosomal RNA". It matches the Rfam family "Bacterial small subunit ribosomal RNA", at positions 338 to 795 of the family's 1533-position model. The record is from RNAcentral.